RNAcentral lists this ribosomal RNA (756 nucleotides) under uncultured bacterium. Its description in RNAcentral is "bacterial SSU rRNA". It matches the Rfam family "Bacterial small subunit ribosomal RNA", at positions 35 to 789 of the family's 1533-position model. The record is from RNAcentral.
GCUGGCGGCGUGCCUAACACAUGCAAGUCGAACGAAGCGUGCGGAUGGAAUUUCUUCGGAGAGGAAGCCUGCAUGACUGAGUGGCGGACGGGUGAGUAACGCGUGGGCAACCUGCCCUGCACAGGGGGACAACAGCCGGAAACGGCUGCUAAUACCGCAUAAGCGCACAGCUUCGCAUGGAGCGGUGUGAAAAGCUGCGGCGGUGCAGGAUGGGCCCGCGUCUGAUUAGCUGGUUGGCGGGGCAACGGCCCACCAAGGCGACGAUCAGUAGCCGGCCUGAGAGGGUGGACGGCCACAUUGGGACUGAGACACGGCCCAGACUCCUACGGGAGGCAGCAGUGGGGAAUAUUGCACAAUGGGGGAAACCCUGAUGCAGCGACGCCGCGUGAGCGAAGAAGUAUUUCGGUAUGUAAAGCUCUAUCAGCAGGGAAGAAAUUGACGGUACCUGAGUAAGAAGCUCCGGCUAAAUACGUGCCAGCAGCCGCGGUAAUACGUAUGGAGCAAGCGUUAUCCGGAUUUACUGGGUGUAAAGGGAGCGUAGGCGGCCUGCCAAGUCUGAUGUGAAAUACCGGGGCUCAACCCCGGGGCUGCAUUGGAAACUGGCAGGCUGGAGUGUCGGAGAGGCAGGCGGAAUUCCUAGUGUAGCGGUGAAAUGCGUAGAUAUUAGGAGGAACACCAGUGGCGAAGGCGGCCUGCUGGACGAUGACUGACGCUGAGGCUCGAAAGCGUGGGGAGNCAACAGGAUUAAAUACCCUG